AAACUAACAAGGAUUCCCCUAGUAACUGCGAGUGAAGCGGGAAAAGCUCAAAUUUAAAAUCUGGCAGCUUUGGCUGUCCGAGUUGUAAUCUGGAGAAGCGUCUUCCGCGCUGGACCGUGUACAAGUCUCCUGGAACGGAGCGUCAUAGAGGGUGAGAAUCCCGUCUUUGACAUGGACUACCAGUGCUUUGUGAUGCGCUCUCAAAGAGUCGAGUUGUUUGGGAAUGCAGCUCAAAAUGGGUGGUGAACUCCAUCUAAAGCUAAAUAUUGGCGAGAGACCGAUAGCGAACAAGUACCGUGAGGGAAAGAUGAAAAGCACUUUGGAAAGAGAGUUAAACAGUACGUGAAAUUGCUGAAAGGGAAACGCUUGAAGUCAGUCGCGUUUGCUAGGACUCAGCCUUGCCUCGGCAUGGUGCACUUCCUAGUAAACGGGCCAGCAUCACUUUUGGCUGCGGGAAAAGGAUCAGAGGAAUGUGGCACCUUCGGGUGUGUUAUAGCCUCUGGUUGUAUACCGUGGCUGGGAGUGAGGAUCUCAGCACGCCUUACGGCGGGGCUUCGGCCACCUUCGUGCUUAGGAUGCUGGCGUAAUGGCUUUAAACGACC
This 602-nucleotide ribosomal RNA is filed under the name Phanerochaete sordida. RNAcentral's name for it is "LSU rRNA". It matches the Rfam family "Eukaryotic large subunit ribosomal RNA", at positions 62 to 649 of the family's 3401-position model. Lineage: Eukaryota; Fungi; Basidiomycota; Agaricomycetes; Polyporales; Phanerochaetaceae. The record is from RNAcentral.